RNAcentral lists this ribosomal RNA (253 nucleotides) under uncultured bacterium. RNAcentral describes it as "partial 16S ribosomal RNA". It matches the Rfam family "Bacterial small subunit ribosomal RNA", at positions 524 to 776 of the family's 1533-position model. The record is from RNAcentral.
UACGUAGGUGGCAAGCGUUGUCCGGAUUUAUUGGGUUUAAAGGGUGCGUAGGCGGUCUUUUAAGUCAGUGCUGAAAUAUCCCGGCUUAACCGGGAGGGUGGCAUUGAUACUGAGAGACUUGAGUAAAGUUGAGGUAGGCGGAAUUGACGGUGUAGCGGUGAAAUGCUUAGAUAUCGUCAAGAACACCGAUAGUGUAGACAGCUUACUAAGCUUUAACUGACGCUGAGGCACGAAAGUGUGGGGAUCAAACAGG